This 254-nucleotide ribosomal RNA is filed under the name uncultured bacterium. Its description in RNAcentral is "partial 16S ribosomal RNA". It matches the Rfam family "Bacterial small subunit ribosomal RNA", at positions 524 to 776 of the family's 1533-position model. The record is from RNAcentral.
UACGGAGGGUGCAAGCGUUGUUCGGAAUUACUGGGCGUAAAGCGUGUGUAGGCUGCCCCGCAAGUCGGGUGUGAAAGCCCUGGGCUCAACCUGGGAAGUGCACUCGAAACUGCGGGGCUGGAGUCCUGGAGAGGAAGGCGGAAUUCUCGGUGUAGAGGUGAAAUUCGUAGAUAUCGAGAGGAACACCGGUGGCGAAGGCGGCCUUCUGGACAGUGACUGACGCUGAGUGAGCGAAAGCCAGGGGAGCAAACGGG